CCCUUAGAUGUUCUGGGCUGCACGCGUGCUACAAUGGCGCUUGCAACAAGUCUUGCCAACCCGAUGGGGUGAGCGGAUCUUUGAAGAGGCGUCGUGAUCGGGACAGUUGAUUGCAAUUAUUCGACUCGAACGAGGAAUUCCUUGUAAUCGCGAUUCAUCAUAUCGCGCUGAAUACGUCCCUGCCCUUUGUACACACCGCCCGUCGCUCCUACCGAUUGAGCGAUCCGGUGAAUGUUUUGGACUGGCGUCAGAAGCGGUUCGCUCCUGACACUACGAAAUUUUGUAAACCUUAUCGCUUAGAGGAAGGAAAAGUCGUAACA
Molecule: ribosomal RNA, 320 nt
Filed under: uncultured eukaryote
Lineage: Eukaryota
Description: partial 18S ribosomal RNA
Rfam family: Eukaryotic small subunit ribosomal RNA
Source: RNAcentral